GAAAAAGCGAUGAGAGGAAAAAGUAGCGGGAGUUCUGCUCCAAAGAGAGCCGGUGGCUGGUGGAAACCGGUGUGCGGAGCCUGCGAAUCCAUCCUUGAGCAAAGCAUGGAAAGCUGAAAAGGCAAGUAAGUGCUUUCGGGUCAAACCGUUAUGUAAUUGAGGUGGGCAGCUUGUGCUGCCAACCAGGGUGGCAACGCGGGUUAACUCCCGUCCCUGUU
Molecule: non-coding RNA, 218 nt
Filed under: Bacillus sp. (in: firmicutes)
Lineage: Bacteria; Bacillati; Bacillota; Bacilli; Caryophanales; Bacillaceae
Description: Bacillus sp. T-box sequence
Rfam family: T-box leader
About the family: Uncharged tRNA acts as the effector for transcription antitermination of genes in the T-box leader family. T-boxes are found upstream of many aminoacyl-tRNA synthetase genes and some amino acid biosynthetic genes usually in Gram-positive bacteria. The anticodon of a specific tRNA base pairs to a specifier sequence within the T-box motif, and the NCCA acceptor tail of the tRNA base pairs to a conserved bulge in the T-box antiterminator hairpin.
Source: RNAcentral